Molecule: ribosomal RNA, 490 nt
Filed under: uncultured bacterium
Lineage: Bacteria
Description: partial 16S ribosomal RNA
Rfam family: Bacterial small subunit ribosomal RNA
Source: RNAcentral
AUUGAACGCUGGCGGCAGGCCUAACACAUGCAAGUCGAACGGUAACAGGAAGAAGCUUGCUUCUUUGCUGACGAGUGGCGGACGGGUGAGUAAUGUCUGGGAAACUGCCUGAUUGAGGGGGAUAACUACUGGAAACGGUAGCUAAUACCGCAUAACGUCGCAAGACCAAAGAGGGGGACCUUCGGGCCUCUUGCCCUCGGAUGUGCCCAGAUGGGAUUAGCUAGUAGGUGGGGUAACGGCUCACCUAGGCGACGAUCCCUAGCUGGUCUGAGAGGAUGACCAGCCACACUGGAACUGAGACACGGUCCAGACUCCUACGGGAGGCAGCAGUGGGGAAUAUUGCACAAUGGGCGCAAGCCUGAUGCAGCCAUGCCGCGUGUAUGAAGAAGGCCUUCGGGUUGUAAAGUACUUUCAGCGGGGAGGAAGGGAGUAAAGUUAAUACCUUGGCUCAUUGACGUUACCCGCAGAAGAAGCACCGGCUAACUCCGUG